AAACUCACUGUGUGACUCAUAGC
Molecule: non-coding RNA, 23 nt
Filed under: Cricetulus griseus (Chinese hamster)
Lineage: Eukaryota; Metazoa; Chordata; Mammalia; Rodentia; Cricetidae
Source: RNAcentral